Molecule: long non-coding RNA, 638 nt
Organism: Erinaceus europaeus (western European hedgehog)
Lineage: Eukaryota; Metazoa; Chordata; Mammalia; Eulipotyphla; Erinaceidae
Exons: 3
Source: RefSeq, a predicted model, not a curated record
UUUGAGUUCUGAUUUUGUUAGGUCUUUAUUGAUUUUGCUUUGGCCAAGAACUGGGAGUCUAGUUCAGGAAGUCUCCCCAUGUCUGAGCAAAGUGUGUGUUUGAGAAGCUUUGUCAAAACUGCUCCACAAGAGUGCAGUUCUAGGAAAGGCGGGGUGCCUCCUGCUCGCUCCAUGUCUCCGCAGAAGCUUGCCGUGCCGGCUGCAUCAUCCUGCCUCACCACUGACAACAGACACAGUAGUGACACCUUGUCUUUUGUCACUUUUUUUUUUUUUUUUUACAGCAUGACAGCCACCAUGACCAGUCAUACUAGAAGGAACCAUUUCUCUGCCCAAGAUCCUGAAGUCUGAGCUGGCUGUAGAGAGCAGGAGAAGGUAAUAGGGGUAUUGAUCUGAAGGCCCCCACGCCUCACUCGCUCUCCCUUCUAACACCUCCAAGGCCCAACUGCUGCUCACCAGAGAGCACAAGUCACCACCAAGAUACCCACAGCAAGAAGAUCUCUAGUAUUUCAUCACAUUAGUGAUACCUUCCCCAGUACACAUUGGAUUGUUAUGAAAAAGAAUUGAAUCAUAGGUGAUUGGAUAUUAACAUAUAUGAAUGUCCUGUGCAUUUUCCUUGUGAUUUUAUUUAUUUAUUUUCC